AGAACGAACGCUGGCGGCGCGCUUAACACAUGCAAGUCGAGCGGGGGUUCUAGCUUCGGUUAGUGCCCCAGCGGCGGACGGGUGAGUAACGCGUGGGAACCUGCCCUGGAGUUCGGGAUAACAGCGGGAAACUGCUGCUAACACCGGAUACGCCCUGAUCAGCGAUGGUGAGGGGAAAGUUUACGCUCUGGGAUGGGCCCGCGUCCGAUUAGCUAGUUGGUGGGGUAACGGCCUACCAAGGCUCCGAUCGGUAAC
RNAcentral lists this ribosomal RNA (255 nucleotides) under uncultured bacterium. RNAcentral describes it as "partial small subunit ribosomal RNA". It matches the Rfam family "Bacterial small subunit ribosomal RNA", at positions 26 to 287 of the family's 1533-position model. The record is from RNAcentral.